This is a long non-coding RNA of Erinaceus europaeus (western European hedgehog), 2521 nucleotides long. RefSeq lists it as uncharacterized. The record is from RefSeq and is a predicted model, not a curated record. The transcript is spliced from 5 exons. Lineage: Eukaryota; Metazoa; Chordata; Mammalia; Eulipotyphla; Erinaceidae.
AGUGCCUUUCAGAUCAUGUUUUAAAACCCUCCACGUCUGGCGUGGGGAACGCGGCGGCGGCUUGGUGGUGGAUAGCAAGAGGCAAAGGUGUCACCGAGCUGCUCAUGGUGAUAGAAGUCUGCUUAGAGAAGGCCACAGCUGGGCUCUAGGAGCAGAGUGGAAGCUGAUAUGGAGAUUGGGGGAAGGGGAGAAUCAUAGAGAGAAGGAGAGAUAUCACAAUACCACCCACCAUUCAUGAAAUGUCCCAUGAUGCUGUGUCUGGUGCUCCCAUGUGACUCUGGAGGCUGGAACCUGGGUCUUCAAGGCUGUAUGGACCAAAAAAACUUUUGGGAUGCAGAAGGUGGAAGGUCUGACUUCUGUAACUGCUUCUUCACUGGACAUGGGCAUUGCCACCAAGUUGCAGAUGCUACUAUGAUUCCAUUCUGACCACCCUGCACAGAUGACCUCAACGUUGUGUCCUGGAACCUCAGCUUUCUAGAGCCCUACCCCACUAGGGAAUGACAGAAAAAGGUUGAGGGUAUGGCUUGACCUACAAAACGUCUGUGUUUAAUGGAGAAGCAAUUACAUAAGCCAGACCUUCCACCUUCUGCACCCCAUGAGGAAUUUUGGUCCAUACUCCCAGAGGGAUAAAGAAUAGGAAAGUUUCCAGUGGAGGAGAUGGGACAUGGAACUCUGGUGGUGGGAACUGUAUGGACUGAUACAGCCAUGUUUUCUUACAAUAUUGCUAAUCAUUAUUAAAUAACUAAAAAAAAAAAAGAAUAAAAGAAGGGGCCUGGGCAGUGGAGCAGCCAGUACAUAUGAGCACAUAUGUCACAAUGAGCAAGGACCCUGGUUCAAGCUCCUGGUCCCCACCUGAAGAGGGGAAGCUUCCUGAGUGGUGAUGAGGUGCUGCAGCUCUCUCUCUCUCUUUCUCUUCCCUCUCUAUCUCCCCCUCUUCCCUCAAUUUCUCUGUCUCUAUUAAAAACUAAAAACAUAUCCAAAAUAAACAAGUAAAACUUAUUUUAAAAAGGAUAAAAGGAAAAAAAAAAGUCAUCCAUCACAAAAAGAAGCAGUAGUAUCAACCAAAACUGACGGUGUGCUCGUCUCUGCGUUACCUAAAGAAGGUUGACCUGUGGCCUCUGCUCCCAGAAAUGGCACCUUAAGUGCUUACUCAGUAAGUAGAUUUCUGUUCUGAUUGUGUUCUGUUUCCCUGACUGCCGAGCAAGACAUGGGCCUAUUCAUGUUGGACUUUCCCACCUCUGCUGAAGUGUGUCUAGUAGUUGUACCUCAAGUUGCAGUCACUUGUGUUUAGGGAUCAAGGAUUCUAGCGUGAUUAGCCAGACAACUCUGAAGCCUGGCAACUGAGCUAGGAAGCCUCUCUCUCAUUCCCAAAUGAAGUGGUCACCUCCCCUGGUUGUUCUGACAGCAAUGCUCAAACACCAGCCUGUUCCCACAAAGCCUGAAAAUAAGGCAGAACUCAGCAGCUAAAGUUGAUGAUUUGCUUGAAGUAGCAGGGACGAGGAUUUGGAAUUCCUCCACAGUCAUGUGCACACAAAGAAACCUCUUCCUUUGUGUGGUCCUGCCUCCCCUGGGAUUGUCUCACAUGAUUCUUUCAGGGAGGGGUUUGCUUCAGACCUCCAUCCCCUCUCCCCCUUAGCAGUCUUACCUCACUUGGAGGCAUUUGUCCCUGUCUGAGUCUCCAAAACAACACAGUGACUUGGAGCGGUUGGUGACCUUCUGUUGCAGUAAUUCCCUCCUUUGGGCAUUACAAUUGAUUUUCUUCCUUGUGGCUUGUAAAGAUUCAAAGUAUGCCCCUUGCUCCUUGUCCCUUGAGGGUCCCUCCAUCGGCAGCUGAGUUGGGGACAAGGCACGGGCUGGCCACCAGUGUGUGUUAGAAGGAGGGAUUCCUGGAACACCUGCCAGCCAGAAGCCCUGUCUGACUAUGUACCAUGGGUGGGAGCCACGCACUGGAUCUCAGCAGGGCCACCAUUGCUGCAACUUCCUUGCUGAAUUGGAUUUUAAUGAAAGAGGACUGAGAUCCCUUUAUUUGUCAGUGAGUCCAUCUUGAAAAUUCUAUGAUUGGGAGUCAGGCGGUAGCACAGUGGGUUAAGCGCAGGUGGCUCAAAGUGCAAGGACCAGCUGAAGGAUCUUGGUUCGAGCCCCCGGUUCCCCACCUGCAGGGGAGUCACUUCACAGGCGGUGAAGCAGGUCUGCAGGUGUCUAUGUUUCUCUCCCCGUCUCUGUCUUCCCCUCCUCUCUCCAUUUCUCUCUGUCCUAUCCAACAACAAUGACAUCAAUAACAACAACAACAAUAACUAUAACAAUAAAGAACAACAAGGGCAACAAAAGGGAAUAAAUAAAUAAAAUAAAAAUAUUUAAAAGAGAGAAAAUUCUAUGAUUGUGUCAGUUUGCAGAGAACUCCUUGUGGCCUCCCCGCUAGGGUUUCCCAGUGGGUGAGAAGGGUCUCUGCUUCUGUUAUUCCUAAUCUCUACUUCCCUACGUCGGUCUUUAGGUUAGAAUAACUCCUCAUAAUGACCCUGGG